RNAcentral lists this ribosomal RNA (503 nucleotides) under uncultured bacterium. RNAcentral describes it as "partial 16S ribosomal RNA". It matches the Rfam family "Bacterial small subunit ribosomal RNA", at positions 28 to 507 of the family's 1533-position model. The record is from RNAcentral.
GACGAACGCUGGCGGCGUGCUUAACACAUGCAAGUCGAACGGUGAAGCGCUUUCCUUUUUGGUUGGUGUGGAUGAGUGGCGAACGGGUGAGUAACACGUGAGUAACCUGCCCCCUUCUUCUGGAUAACCGCAUGAAAGUGUGGCUAAUACGGGAUAUUCUGCGCCUGCUGCAUGGUGGGUGUGGGAAAGAUUGUGCCUUUGGGUGUUUUCGGUGGGGGAUGGGCUCGCGGCCUAUCAGCUUGUUGGUGGGGUGAUGGCCUACCAAGGCGGUGACGGGUAGCCGGCCUGAGAGGGUGGACGGUCACACUGGGACUGAGACACGGACCAGAAUCCUACGGGAGGCAGCAGUGGGGAAUAUUGCACAAUGGGCGCAAGCCUGAUGCAGCGACGCCGCGUGAGGGAUGGAGGCCUUCGGGUUGUGAACCUCUUUCGCCAGUGAAGCAGGCCUGCUCCUUGUGGGUGGGUUGACGGUAGCUGGAGAAGAAGCGCCGGCUAACUACGUG